AUUGAACGCUGGCGGCAGGCCUAACACAUACAAGUCGAGCGGAUGAAGGGAGCUUGCUCCUGGAUUCAGCGGCGGACGGGUGAGUAAUGCCUAGGUAUCUGCCUGGUAGUGGGGGAUAACGUCCGGAAACGGGCGCUAAUACCGCAUACGUCCUGAGGGAGAAAGUGGGGGAUCUUCGGACCUCACGCUAUCAGAUGAGCCUAGGUCGGAUUAGCUAGUUGGUGGGGUAAAGGCCUACCAAGGCGACGAUCCGUAACUGGUCUGAGAGGAUGAUCAGUCACACUGGAACUGAGACACGGUCCAGACUCCUACGGGAGGCAGCAGUGGGGAAUAUUGGACAAUGGGCGAAAGCCUGAUCCAGCCAUGCCGCGUGUGUGAAGAAGGUCUUCGGAUUGUAAAGCACUUUAAGUUGGGAGGAAGGGCAGUAAGUUAAUACCUUGCUGUUUUGACGUUACCAACAGAAUAAGCACCGGCUAACUUCGUG
RNAcentral lists this ribosomal RNA (484 nucleotides) under uncultured bacterium. RNAcentral's name for it is "partial 16S ribosomal RNA". It matches the Rfam family "Bacterial small subunit ribosomal RNA", at positions 30 to 507 of the family's 1533-position model. The record is from RNAcentral.